AAAACAAGAAAUCAUCUCACAACAAGAAGGAAUACUCUCUAUCAAGGAAAGGAAUCAUGAAGACUCUACUCUCACUCUUCUGUCUGGUUACUUACCUCACCUGUGCUCUCAGUGCUAAUGGCUGGCCAGUCUCUCUUGACAUGGCUUGUAAUAAAGCUCUUUCUGCAGUUGCUUGCUCUUUUGA
This 184-nucleotide long non-coding RNA is filed under the name Amphimedon queenslandica. Its description in RNAcentral is "uncharacterized LOC109587773". The record is from RNAcentral. Lineage: Eukaryota; Metazoa; Porifera; Demospongiae; Haplosclerida; Niphatidae.